GACGAACGCUGGCGGCGUGCUUAACACAUGCAAGUCGAACGGAAAGGCCCUGCUUGCAGGGUACUCGAGUGGCGAACGGGUGAGUAACACGUGGGUGAUCUGCCCUGCACUUCGGGAUAAGCCUUGGAAACUGGGUCUAAUACCGGAUAGGAGCCAUUUUUAGUGUGAUGGUUGGAAAGUUUUUUCGGUGUAGGAUGAGCUCGCGGCCUAUCAGCUUGUUGGUGGGGUAAUGGCCUACCAAGGCGGCGACGGGUAGCCGGCCUGUGAGGGUGGACGGCCACACUGGGACUGAGAGACGGCCCAGACUCCUACGGGAGGCAGAAGUGGGGAAGAUUGCACAAUGGGCGCAAGCCUGAUGCAGCGCCGCCGCGUGGGGGAUGACGGCCUUCGGGUUGUAAACUCCUUUCGCUAGGGACGAAGCUUUUUGUGACGGUACCUAGAUAAGAAGCACCGGCUAACUACGUG
Molecule: ribosomal RNA, 465 nt
Filed under: uncultured bacterium
Lineage: Bacteria
Description: partial 16S ribosomal RNA
Rfam family: Bacterial small subunit ribosomal RNA
Source: RNAcentral